This 164-nucleotide ribosomal RNA is filed under the name uncultured bacterium. RNAcentral's name for it is "partial 16S rRNA". It matches the Rfam family "Bacterial small subunit ribosomal RNA", at positions 355 to 511 of the family's 1533-position model. The record is from RNAcentral.
UAGGGAAUCUUCCACAAUGGACGAAAGUCUGAUGGAGCAACGCCGCGUGAGUGAAGAAGGGUUUCGGCUCGUAAAACUCUGUUGUUAAAGAAGAACAUAUCUGAGAGUAACUGUUCAGGUAUUGACGGUAUUUAACCAGAAAGCCACGGCUAACCACGUGCCAC